GAGCCUGUAGCUCAGCGGUAGAGCAUCUGACUUUUAAUCAGGUGGUCGUGGGUUCGAUCCCCACCGGGCUCACCA
RNAcentral lists this transfer RNA (75 nucleotides) under Alphaproteobacteria bacterium. RNAcentral describes it as "tRNA-Lys". It matches the Rfam family "tRNA". From Rfam's summary of the family: Transfer RNA (tRNA) molecules are approximately 80 nucleotides in length. Lineage: Bacteria; Pseudomonadati; Pseudomonadota; Alphaproteobacteria. The record is from RNAcentral.